GAUCGGUCCAUUCUUUCCUUUCUUGUUGGCCCAUCGACGCUCUCUGCUGCAGUCUCCUUCCCUCGCUUCCGAUUCCGUUCCGCUUCCCAUGGCCGCCGCCGCCGGCUUCCGGCUGGGGCAGCGCGUGCACGCGGCGGGCGACCCGCGGCGGGCCGGGACCGUGCGCUACCUGGGCCCCGUCGACGGCCACGCCGGCGACUGGGUGGGCGUCGACUGGGACGGCGGCGCCGGCGGCCGCCACGACGGCUCCCUCGCCGGCCGCCGCUACUUCGCCGCCGCGGGGGAGCGCUCCGCCUCCUUCGCGCGCCCCGCCGCGCUCAGCGCUGGGAUCGCGCUCCCCGACGCGCUCCGCCUCCGGUACCGCGUCGAUGACUUCACCAAGGAGGAACAAGAUGAAAUGUAUGUGUUCUCAACGAGCCAGAAGCGUGUGUCGGUGGAAUUGGUUGGGAAGAACAAAGUCUGGGAGAAGCUAAAGAACUUUGAUGAGUUGUUAUGUGCAUCUGUUUCCUUCAUGGGAGUAAGCUCGAUCGGAGUGCCAGAGGAACUACAUGAUCUGGUUCCAAAUCUCAGACAACUUGAUUUAACUGGAAAUCUGCUUUCUCAGUGGCAGGAUAUUUUCUCUCUUUGUCAAGCCCUGGCGUCUCUGGAAGUUCUUGAUUUGACAAACAAUACCAUGGAGAAUGACGUUGUAGAAAGUCCAUUGCUGAAGAAUAUCCGUGUUUUAGUUCUCAACAACUGUGGUGUAACAUGGGAACUGGUUGAAAAUAUUGCAGUACCAUUUGCAUGUCUCAAUGAAGUCCAUCUAAUAUGGAACAAGCUGAACAUAAUCACGACUCCAGUUGGAAAAUUUGUGAAAGGUUUCGAUACACUGCGGCUCUUAAAUUUAGAAGACAAUAACAUUGAUUCAUGGGAUGAAAUUGUGAAACUUUCUUAUUUAAGAAGCUUGGAACAGCUCCAUCUGAACAAGAACAUGAUAAAGCAUGUAAUGUAUCCAUCUAAUCUUCCAUCACCAGUGCCUUCUGAUGGCACAGCUGUUCCGCCGUUCGAAAAAUUGCAAGUCCUUCUAUUAGGAUCUAAUGAAAUAGACGACUUUCCUUCUGUGGAUUCACUUAACCUCUUUCCAAGUUUAACGGACGUCAGGAUUUCUGAUAAUCCUAUAGCUGAUCCUUCCAAGGGUGGUGCCCCUCGAUUUGUGCUUGUUGCUCGAUUGGGAAAAGUUAAAAUACUAAAUGGCAGUGAGGUCAGUGCGCGUGAACGGAGGGAAGCAGAAAUACGAUAUGUUCGACUUGUAUUGGGAAAAGCAGAAUCAACCGACCCAGAAGUGAUCAAACGGCUACACCCUAGGUUUGCUGAACUGAAGGCCUUUCAUGGCAUUGAAGAUGAGAAGCCAACUUCAAGGACGUUAGGCCCACAAAAGAUGGCUUCUGGUCUUAUAAGUAUCACCUUGAGAUGUGUGGGGGCAUCUAUGGGUGAGAAGCAACCUUUGACAAAGAAACUGCCUCCUACAACGACUGUAUGUACUUCUUGGUCGGAAAGCUAAAAUCUUUAUGCGACAGCUUCUUUAAACUGAAGGACAUCAAACUAAGACUGUUUCUUGAGGAAGAGGGAUGCCCACUGCCACAACUACUUGAGGAAGAGACGGCUUCACUCAUGGAACUCGGAAUAGGCACUGGAGCAACCAUUAUCGUUGAUGAAGAAAGCUAAUCGUCGGCAGCGAACAGAAGAAAAAAAAUGUAUGUGUGUCCACGGGGAACAGAAGAAAGAAUAUAUAUCUGUGUGCAUGGAUAGCACACUAGUAUUUCUUUGAGAGAAUCAUUGCUAUUCCUUGUUCUGUACAUUUAUCAGAGAGGCAGUGAAUCAAGUUCAGGCAUGUAUGAUGGUGAUUGAUUUUGCCUUUUGUGGUAGUGAAUCAAGUUCAGACGUGUAUGGUGUUUUAUU
Brachypodium distachyon (stiff brome) is the source of this 1938-nucleotide RNA transcript. It is a transcript of the gene named tubulin-folding cofactor E, with no coding region annotated. The transcript is spliced from 15 exons. NCBI's taxonomy places the organism in Eukaryota, Viridiplantae, Streptophyta, Magnoliopsida, Poales, Poaceae. The record is from RefSeq and is a predicted model, not a curated record.